This 193-nucleotide microRNA precursor is filed under the name Oryza brachyantha (malo sina). RNAcentral's name for it is "MIR812 microRNA precursor family". It matches the Rfam family "MIR812 microRNA precursor family". Lineage: Eukaryota; Viridiplantae; Streptophyta; Magnoliopsida; Poales; Poaceae. The record is from Rfam by way of RNAcentral.
AAUAAACCAAUUUCUGCAUUUUUAAUUGAAUUUUUGACUCUUCGUCUUAUUUGAAAUUUUUUAUGAUUAAUAUUUUUAUUAUUAUUACAUGAUAAAACAUGAAUAGUACUUUGCAUGUGACUAUUUUUUUUAAUUUUUUAAUAAAUUCUUCAAAUAAAACGGAUGGACAAACGCUAUAUAGGCAAAACUCAGA